AAGGCAUCAUUAUCGUGCAACGAUGCUGUGCAGGUGCUGAUGAAGGGCUGUCGCUGCACUUUUUGACACAAAASUCGUGCACGCCGGGAGCACGUCCUCUCUCUCACAUAAAAUCCAUCUCACCCUUUUGUGCACCACCGCGCGGGCACCCUUUGGGAUGCUUGCGUUUUCACACAAACCCCUUUUAAAAAAGUGUAGAAUGACCGACUUUGCGAUGACACGCAAUCAAUACAACUUUCAACAACGGAUCUCUUGGCUCUCGCAUCGAUGAAGAACGCAGCGAAAUGCGAUACGUAAUGUGAAUUGCAGAAUUCAGUGAAUCAUCGAAUCUUUGAACGCACCUUGCGCCCCUUGGUAUUCCGAGGGGCACACCCGUUUGAGUGUCGUGAAAAUCUCAACCUUCUCGGUUUUCUUCUGGACACCGAAGGAGGCUUGGACUUUGGAGGCCUUUGCUGGCGUCUCUCUAGAGCCAGCUCCUCUUAAAUGAAUUAGCGGGGUCCUCUUUGCCGAUCCUUGACAUGUGAUAAGAUGUUUCCAUGACUCGGUUUCUGGCUCUGUUGCAUUUGGGACCUGCUUCUAACCGUCUCGACGAGACGACGUUUGGGCGUGUCUCCCUUCUCGGGAGACUCUCUCGACCCCACGAACCCUUGACCUCAAAUCGGGUGAGACUACCCGCUGAACUUAAGCAUAUCAAUAAGCGGAGGAAAAGAAACUAGAAAGGAUUCCCCUAGUAACUGCGAGUGUUGCGGGAAAAGGGGAAAUUUAAAAUCUGGUGGUCUUUGGCCAUCUCUUGGUCAUUUGAGGAAGAA
This 809-nucleotide ribosomal RNA is filed under the name Lactarius quieticolor. RNAcentral describes it as "eukaryotic LSU rRNA". The stretch from base 233 to 386 matches the Rfam family "5.8S ribosomal RNA". Lineage: Eukaryota; Fungi; Basidiomycota; Agaricomycetes; Russulales; Russulaceae. The record is from RNAcentral.